GAGUUAGACAUAUUUUCUUAGAUCUCUAGCAUAGAGAUUUUGUACAUGAAGUUUAGGAAGAAAGAGAAGAAAGUAUUCUUCUCAUGAUCUCUGUCAUAGAGAUCUUCAUCCUCUUUUUUUUUCUCUAAAAGGGUCUUAAGAUAAAUGAAGCAUUUUCAACCAUUAAGAUAUGAUCUCUACAAGAGAGCUAGCACUCUAA
Molecule: long non-coding RNA, 199 nt
Filed under: Elaeis guineensis (African oil palm)
Lineage: Eukaryota; Viridiplantae; Streptophyta; Magnoliopsida; Arecales; Arecaceae
Description: long non-coding RNA (EGUI_LNC034923)
Source: RNAcentral